AGGGAGGGCCUAUAGUUCAGUGGUAGACCAUCUGCUUGACAUGCACAAAGACCCAUGUUCAAUCCCUGGCCUCUCUA
This 77-nucleotide transfer RNA is filed under the name Sphaerodactylus townsendi. RNAcentral describes it as "tRNA-Val". Lineage: Eukaryota; Metazoa; Chordata; Lepidosauria; Squamata; Sphaerodactylidae. The record is from RNAcentral.